RNAcentral lists this ribosomal RNA (465 nucleotides) under uncultured Syntrophobacter sp. RNAcentral describes it as "partial 16S ribosomal RNA". The record is from RNAcentral. Lineage: Bacteria; Pseudomonadati; Thermodesulfobacteriota; Syntrophobacteria; Syntrophobacterales; Syntrophobacteraceae.
GACUACAGGGGUAUCUAAUCCUGUUUGCUCCCCACGCUUUCGCGUCUCAGCGUCAGUUACCGUCCAGAAGGGCGCCUACGCCACUGGUAUUCCUCCCGAUCUCUACGAAUUUCACCUCUACACCGGGAAUUCCCCCUUCCUCUCCAGUACUCAAGAAAAACAGUUUCCAAUGCGCUUCCCAGGUUAAGCCCAGGGCUUUCACAUCAGACUUGUCCCCCCGCCUACACGCGCUUUACGCCCAGUAAUUCCGAAUAACGCUCGCACCCUCCGUAUUACCGCGGCUGCUGGCACGGAGUUAGCCGGUGCUUCCUCUGGUGGUACCGUCAAACCUGAAACCUUUCCUCUCCAGGCCUUUCUUCCCACCUGACAGGGCUUUACGACCCGAAGGCCUUCAUCACCCACGCGGCGUUGCUGCGUCAGCCUUGCGGCCAUUGCGCAAAAUUCCUCACUGCAGCCCCCCGUAGG